This 62-nucleotide microRNA precursor is filed under the name Xenopus laevis (African clawed frog). RNAcentral's name for it is "Xla-Mir-1-P3b_pre stem-loop". It matches the Rfam family "mir-1 microRNA precursor family", at positions 10 to 70 of the family's 79-position model. From Rfam's summary of the family: This family represents the microRNA (miRNA) mir-1 family. miRNAs are transcribed as ~70nt precursors (modelled here) and subsequently processed by the Dicer enzyme to give a ~22nt product. In this case the mature sequence comes from the 3' arm of the precursor. The record is from RNAcentral. Lineage: Eukaryota; Metazoa; Chordata; Amphibia; Anura; Pipidae.
ACAUACUUCUUUAUAUAUCCAUAUGAAAGUGCCAGUGCUAUGGAAUGUAAAGAAGUAUGUAU